GCGGCGGACGGGUGAGUAACACGUGGGUAACCUGCCCGUAAGACCGGGAUAACUCCGGGAAACCGGGGCUAAUACCGGAUAACACCGGAGGCCGCAUGGCUUCCGGUUGAAAGGCGGCCUUUGGCUGCCACUUACGGAUGGGCCCGCGGCGCAUUAGCUAGUUGGCGGGGUAACGGCCCACCAAGGCGACGAUGCGUAGCCGGCCUGAGAGGGUGGACGGCCACACUGGGACUGAGACACGGCCCAGACUCCUACGGGAGGCAGCAGUAGGGAAUCUUCCGCAAUGGGCGAAAGCCUGACGGAGCGACGCCGCGUGAGCAGGAAGGCCUUCGGGUCGUAAAGCUCUGUUGUCAGGGAAGAAGGCNCGCCGUUCGAAUAGGGCGGCGCGGUGACGGUACCUGACAAGGAACCCCCGGCUAACUACUUGCCACCACCCCCGGUAAAAC
This 446-nucleotide ribosomal RNA is filed under the name Geobacillus sp. S44C020ANY. Its description in RNAcentral is "bacterial SSU rRNA". It matches the Rfam family "Bacterial small subunit ribosomal RNA", at positions 95 to 526 of the family's 1533-position model. Lineage: Bacteria; Bacillati; Bacillota; Bacilli; Caryophanales; Anoxybacillaceae. The record is from RNAcentral.